Molecule: ribosomal RNA, 253 nt
Filed under: uncultured bacterium
Lineage: Bacteria
Description: partial 16S ribosomal RNA
Rfam family: Bacterial small subunit ribosomal RNA
Source: RNAcentral
UACGAAGGGGGCUAGCGUUGCUCGGAAUUACUGGGCGUAAAGCGCACGUAGGCGGCUUCUUAAGUCGGUGGUGAAAUCCCGGAGCUCAACUCCAGAACUGCCUUCGAUACUGGGAAGCUCGAGUCCGGGAGAGGUGAGUGGAACUGCGAGUGUAGAGGUGAAAUUCGUAGAUAUUCGCAAGAACACCAGUGGCGAAGGCGGCUCACUGGCCCGGUACUGACGCUGAGGUGCGAAAGCGUGGGGAGCAAACAGG